CGGAACCCCUGACGUGUUGCC
This 21-nucleotide non-coding RNA is filed under the name Arabidopsis thaliana (thale cress). Lineage: Eukaryota; Viridiplantae; Streptophyta; Magnoliopsida; Brassicales; Brassicaceae. The record is from RNAcentral.